AAUUAAGGGUCCUAUUAACCCUCGACUCUGAGACAAAGGCACGAAUCUUCUGAGACGAGAUGUCUGCCAAACAUCUGCCAGGGAAAAUAAAAGUAGUAAACAUGUCAGUGGCUGCGAGGGGUCUGAAGGGGCCGCGAUGAUCUGAAGUGCGGCCUUGAUGUGCACCGGGCCUGCCAAGGCCGGUUAUAUGGCUUACGUUUUGAUCUGAGGAGCUCUUGCUUUGCUUCCUG
RNAcentral lists this long non-coding RNA (230 nucleotides) under Homo sapiens (human). RNAcentral's name for it is "non-protein coding lnc-FAM173B-9:1". Lineage: Eukaryota; Metazoa; Chordata; Mammalia; Primates; Hominidae. The record is from RNAcentral.